This 279-nucleotide ribosomal RNA is filed under the name uncultured bacterium. RNAcentral's name for it is "partial 16S ribosomal RNA". It matches the Rfam family "Bacterial small subunit ribosomal RNA", at positions 506 to 784 of the family's 1533-position model. The record is from RNAcentral.
UGCCAGCAGCCGCGGUAACACGAACUGCGCGAACGUUAUUCGGAAUCACUGGGCUUAAAGAGUGCGUAGGCGGCUUUGUAGGUGGGGUGUGAAAUCCCUCGGCUCAACCGAGGAAUAGCGCUCCAAACCACUAAGCUUGAGGGAGAUAGGGGUGAGCGGAACUGAUGGUGGAGCGGUGGAAUGCGUAGAGAUCACGAGGAACACCUAUGGCGAAGGCAAGCAUCUGGACGACGACUGACGCUGAGGCGCGAAAGCUAGGGGAGCAAACAGGAUUAGAUA